AUUGAACGCUGGCGGCAUGCUUUACACAUGCAAGUCGAACGGCAGCGCGGGCUUCGGCCUGGCGGCGAGUGGCGAACGGGUGAGUAAUACAUCGGAACGUGCCCAGUCGUGGGGGAUAGCUCGGCGAAAGCCGGAUUAAUACCGCAUACGACCUGAGGGUGAAAGCGGGGGAUCUUCGGACCUCGCGCUAUUGUAGCGGCCGAUGGCAGAUUAGCUAGUUGGUGGGGUAAAGGCCUACCAAGGCGACGAUCUGUAGCUGGUCUGAGAGGACGACCAGCCACACUGGGACUGAGACACGGCCCAGACUCCUACGGGAGGCAGCAGUGGGGAAUUUUGGACAAUGGGCGAAAGCCUGAUCCAGCAAUGCCGCGUGUGUGAUGAAGGCCUUCGGGUUGUAAAGCACUUUUGGCGGGAACGAAAAGGACUGUGCCAAUACCACGGUUCGAUGACGGUACCCGCAGAAUAAGCACCGGCUAACUACGUG
This 484-nucleotide ribosomal RNA is filed under the name uncultured bacterium. Its description in RNAcentral is "partial 16S ribosomal RNA". It matches the Rfam family "Bacterial small subunit ribosomal RNA", at positions 29 to 507 of the family's 1533-position model. The record is from RNAcentral.